Molecule: ribosomal RNA, 374 nt
Filed under: uncultured bacterium
Lineage: Bacteria
Description: bacterial SSU rRNA
Rfam family: Bacterial small subunit ribosomal RNA
Source: RNAcentral
AGACGGAGGAGGCUAGCGUUGUUCGGAAUUACUGGGCGUAAAGCGUACGCAGGCGGUUGAUCAAGUCGGGUGUGAAAGCCCGGGGCUCAACCUCGGAAUUGCGCCUGAGACUGGUCAGCUAGAGUUCGGAAGAGGAGAGGGGAAUUCCCAGUGUAGAGGUGAAAUUCGUAGAUUUUGGGAAGAACACCAGUGGGGAAGGCGACUCUCUGGUCCGAUACUGACGCUCAAGUACGAAAGCGUGGGGAGCAAACAGGAUUAGAUACCCUGGUAGUCCACGUCGUAAACGAUGUGUGCUAGAUGUCGGGAAGCUUGCUUCUCGGUGUCGCAGCUAACGCGAUAAGCACACCGCCUGGGGAGUACGGCCGCAAGGUUAA